GUCGCACAUUUAACCCCUGUAGCAGAUGGAUCCUCACAAAGAUGUCUUGCACUGUCCAGUAGUGAAUCCUCAAAUUUAAAAAAAUAAUAAUUUCCAUCUAGGACAAAGAACAGGAACUGGAGCAGUUGACUAAGGAGUUGCGGCAAGUCAAUCUCCAGCAGUUCAUCCAGCAGACUGGGACAAAAGUUACCGUUUUGCCAGCGGAGCCCAUUGAAAUAGAGGCCUCACAUGCAGACAUUGAAAGGGGGAUCAUCAUUCUUUCUGAUAAGCAGGAGUGUAAAGAUUAGAUAUCACACCAAAAGCUCAGGCAAGAAAAGCAAAAAUGAACAAGUGGGACUACAUCAAACCCAAAACUCCUGCACAACAAAGGAAACGAUCACCAAAAUGAAAAGGUGGAUCGUAGAUUGGGAGAAAAU
Molecule: long non-coding RNA, 416 nt
Filed under: Pan troglodytes (chimpanzee)
Lineage: Eukaryota; Metazoa; Chordata; Mammalia; Primates; Hominidae
Description: long non-coding RNA NONPTRT003958
Source: RNAcentral